RNAcentral lists this ribosomal RNA (774 nucleotides) under uncultured Neocallimastigales. Its description in RNAcentral is "partial large subunit ribosomal RNA". It matches the Rfam family "Eukaryotic large subunit ribosomal RNA", at positions 24 to 633 of the family's 3401-position model. Lineage: Eukaryota; Fungi; Neocallimastigomycota; Neocallimastigomycetes; Neocallimastigales. The record is from RNAcentral.
UAUGUGAUCGUCUCUCGCAUAUCAAUAAGCGGAGGAAAAGAAACUAACAAGGAUUCCCCUAGUAACGGCGAGUGAAGCGGGAAGAGCUCAAAUUUGAAAUCUUAAAGGGUUUCCCUUUACGAAUUGUAGUUUAAAGAAGUGUUUUCUGUUGAGGUUUUGGUAAAAGUUCUUUGGAAUAGGACAUCAUAGAGGGUGAGAAUCCCGUAUUUGACCUUUACUUUCAACUUUGUGAUACACUUUCAAAGAGUCGGAUUGUUUGGGAAUGCAGUCCAAAAUGGGUGGUAAAUUUCAUCUAAAGCUAAAUAUUGGCGAGAGACCGAUAGCGAACAAGUACCGUGAGGGAAAGAUGAAAAGAACUUUGAAAAGAGAGUUAAACAGUACGUGAAAUUGUCAAAAGGGAAGCGUUUGACACCAGUGUUGUUUUUCUGAAAAUCAAUUAAAGAACUGUUUAUGCUAAGCUGUUUAGACUUUAUCAGCUAUCUGUUUAGUUUUGAGCUUUUCUUUAAUGCACUUUUCAGUUAACAAGUCAACAUCAAUUUCUUUUGCUGUAAAAAAGCUUGAGGAAGGUGGCUUGAGAUUCGUCUUAAGUGUUUAUAGCCUCUUGCCUAUGCAGUCGGAGAGAUUGAGGUCUGCAGCGUAGAUCCUUCGGGGCUAAAUGCAUUUGUGCUAAGUUAUAGCAUUUUAUAGACAACUUGUUGACUAUGAUUUGUCUUGUAGCUUACUCGCUUAUGUUAUUUUACCUACGCUUAGGAUGUUGAAGACUCUACAGAGAUA